This 253-nucleotide ribosomal RNA is filed under the name uncultured bacterium. Its description in RNAcentral is "partial 16S ribosomal RNA". It matches the Rfam family "Bacterial small subunit ribosomal RNA", at positions 524 to 776 of the family's 1533-position model. The record is from RNAcentral.
GACGUAGGGAGCGAGCGUUGUCCGGAAUUACUGGGCGUAAAGAGCUCGUAGGCGGGCCCGUAAGUCCGAGAGGAAAUCUCAAGGCUCAACUUUGGGGCUUUCUUGGAUACUGCGGUUCUUGAGGAUGAGAGAGGUAAGCAGAAUUCCCGGUGUAGCGGUGAAAUGCGUAGAUAUCGGGAGGAAUACCAGUGGCGAAGGCGGCUUACUGGCUCAUUCCUGACGCUGAGGAGCGAAAGCGUGGGGAGCAAACGGG